GACGAACGCUGGCGGCGUGCUUAACACAUGCAAGUCGAACGGAAAGGCCCUGCUUUUGUGGGGUGCUCGAGUGGCGAACGGGUGAGUAACACGUGAGUAACCUGCCCUUGACUUUGGUAUAACUUCAGGAAACUGGGGCUAAUACCGGAUAGGAGCUCCUGCUGCAUGGUGGGGGUUGGAACGUUUCGGCGGUUGGGGAUGGACUCGCGGCUUAUCAGCUUGUUGGUGGGGUAGUGGCUUACCAAGGCUUUGACGGGUAGCCGGCAUGAGAGGGUGACCGGCCACAUUGGGACUGAGAUACGGCGCAGACUCCUACGGGAGGCAGCAGUGGGGAAUAUUGCACAAUGGGCGGAAGCCGGAUGCAGCAACGCCGCGUGCGGGAUGACGGCCUUCGGGUUGUAAACCGCUUUCGCCUGUGACGAAGCGUGAGUGACGGUAAUGGGUAAAGAAGCACCGGCUAACUACGUG
RNAcentral lists this ribosomal RNA (468 nucleotides) under uncultured bacterium. RNAcentral's name for it is "partial 16S ribosomal RNA". It matches the Rfam family "Bacterial small subunit ribosomal RNA", at positions 28 to 507 of the family's 1533-position model. The record is from RNAcentral.